AAAAUACACAUGGGUGUCAGAGGAGAAGAUCUGGAAGAAGCGUGAAAUUCAGGACUACCUCUUUUUGCAGGAGAGUAAAUUGAGUGCAGGUAUGGUGUUCCACCAAGGCCCCAAGCCUGGAAGUUGGCCCGUCCCUCUCCAGCAAAGUGGUCAAAGGUCUGGCCCAGAAGAUCACGCAAGCUGUCAGGAAGCAGAUUCUAGCCUGAAGAUACCAGCGCUUCCUCAUAUCAACAACUACCACAAAGAACGUCUCGUCUGAACUGAACUCGUAUACUUCGGCCUUGCUUCCUUUAACAUACGCACAGCAGUCUGUAUACGUAAGCACUUUCACAUUAUUUACAUCAUUCUCUCCUUGGAGAGAAAAGGAGCACGUGACAAGUAUCAGUCACCUUGCUUAAACUAAUACUAGCAGAUGCUCAGCACGGUAAAGACGAUAAUUGUACACAUUAUA
This is a long non-coding RNA of Rhea pennata, 451 nucleotides long. RefSeq lists it as uncharacterized. The transcript is spliced from 3 exons. The record is from RefSeq and is a predicted model, not a curated record. NCBI's taxonomy places the organism in Eukaryota, Metazoa, Chordata, Aves, Rheiformes, Rheidae.